GACAAGAGGGACAAUAACAAUUAAGAACAUUAGUGUUGCUCUGGAAUGGCUGCACAUCGCCACUGGCAGCUCUGCUGAUAUGAUGGUCACCCAGAGGAAGAUUCCAACUGGCACGAGUUACUGCUAGAGCUCCUGUCCAGGCUUGGCCCUCCCUGCGAGCCCUGCUCAGUCCCACAGCCCAGCUCCUCCAGGGCUGAAGUCAUAGCUCCCAACCGAAUUGGUACUAUGGGAGUACGCCAAGAACCGUGACUCAUGUUCAAUCUAAGAGACACUGACAAAGCUUGCUAGUAAUGAGGACAGAAAUAGCAUUUGCCUUCCCUGGAUUCUUUUGUUCCAAGACAGUUUGUCAAAUUUUUUCCUCUCCUUUACGAACCCUCAGAGAAAGGGGUCUGGGAUCUACAGCCUGCAUUACAAUUGGAGUCACAGCUGAUUCUCAACUCACCCAAUCAAACUGGACUUCAGGAUUCAAGUUACUUCUCAAGUCAAUCCAAGCCUUUAGUAUUUGGAUGAUAAAAACUGUUUUUGUGGGUUGUUCCCUUGGAAUGCUGACUGAAAGUGCUCAGAAGUCUUCUGAGGUCAGAGCAGAGCAGCCAAUUACGCAUUGCCAGAUACACCUCUUGGGUAACUUUUCUUCCCUCUAAGAUCAGAAGUCCUCCUGCUGGUGGCAGCAGUGAGGGACAAAUCUGGGCAAAACUUGCUUUUCAAAGCCUUGGCUUUUCCAUUUGCUGUCCUUUUCUCUGUUUAGAUGAAAACAUAGGUUCCAAGGACCACUGGCCAAGCUACGCUUUCAGAAGCUCCAGCCUAAUGCCACUGUGAAGGGAGAUUCUUCACUGCAAGCAAUGAGCGUUUAUACGUUUUGCAUUGUAUACAUUGCAUUAUACAGUAGCAACUGGCUACUCCAGAACCAACUAGACUCCUGCAAGACAACCUGCACAAAGACCUACACUAGAUUAAGGUUGUUGUUUGUUCAUAAUCCUUUAUUUAAAUAAUACAUCAGUAGAAUUUGUAAGCAGAUUCUCAGACUAGAGGCUAGGCAGAAGAGCAUCCCAGCAAGCCUGGUGAAAGAUAAACAACCCUCCAAUGCUGAGUUUGGGGAAAAAGAUGCAGAUAUAUUUUGCAGUGAAUAGGAAAGUAGCACAGAAAUCCAGCUGCCACAACAUAACUGUAGAAGCCAUGACUGAGCCAGAUAAUAACUGCAAAGAAAAGCAAGGUGGGAUCCUGUUGCUCAGGAAAAGCAGCUCCCAGCAGGGAAAAGCCAAUGCAUUCAGGAUCAGAUUCUCAGUCACACAUCCUGCUGAGAAGCAGCAGCCUAGGGUAAAGUGUUAAAUUGCUUGCUAAGGACAAAUCAAUCCUAAAAGCCUAGCUAUUAUUCAGAGACCAUUCAAGAGAGAGAGUGUCUGUUAUACUUCAGAAGGAGUUUAAUGCCUGAAGGUCUAUAAGCAUCACAUAAUGAAAAGCAUGCUCUACGCAAAUCCCACCAUGGCUCCCGUCUCAGACAAGUUCCUGUCUGCAGGUUGCAUCUGAAGGAACAGUGAUUGUGCAGUGUUGGUGCAAGGUGAAACUCAAGACAGAUGCUGUGAGAUGACACUCACAAGCCACUCUGACAGCGACAGAAAACUUGUUGCUCUAAUGACUGGAAAAUGCCAGUUCUGCAGCUCUAAGUAUCAACCUCCUGAAUUCUGCCCAGUAUUGGGUGAGCACCCGAACAGUUCACGCUUUCCACAAGUGCCACCUCAUAGAUGCAAGUGCCUCCAGUCCCCUCCAGUUCCUCUUCUGGAGUGACUGUAACGGCCCAAAUUCUGCUACAGUGGCAGUCAUCCUCUCAUCCUGGACUCUGAGUGUAGAAAUCCUGACCACAGGAUCGUCAGCACUCUGCUGCAGCCGAGGACGACGCAUCCAGAAUGGGGCUCACGUCUUCAAGUGGGAGCGCAGCCAAAAGCAGGGCUCUGCCUCCCCCGCUCUCAGCACGCUAAAAGAAGAGUGGGAUUUUUUUCCCCCAAAAGAGCCACCUGUUAAGGAAAUUCUCCUGUGCUUUGAGAGUGCAGCAAGGCAGAAGGGUGCAACACAGCGGUUUCAGGAAGGACACCAGGUUUACAGAGCGCUGGGCAGACAAAGCUGCUGUUCUGCACUGCUGAUCCCCACCACAUUCCGCGCAAGGCUCUAAUCUGAUCAGCUCCAUUACGGAGUCACAAACUGCAUUUCAAACCAGGAUUACAAACCAGAAAGUCCAGAUGGAAAGCUGCUUCUGACCCUCAGUGAUAAAACACGCUGUUGCGAGGAGCAUAUCGCAUCAAUUUAGAUACACUGUCAGGAUUAAUGUCCUUUAACGCAACAGCAUUCCUCGAGAUUCAGAUUCCUUCCAGCCUCCUUGCUGUUUGACACGUCCUUCCUGGGCCUUGUGCAUUUCCCUGACAGAAGCCAUAAACUCACAGUGCUCGAUUACCAGCUUUGCAACCCUCGUGCUAUCUGGCAGAUGGUGAACUCAUUUUAAUUCAUGUUUAAUGGCCAGCAUUAGGACAACUCACAAGAUAAGUCACUUGGUAAAUUGGCAGCAAAAUCAGAGCUCAGUGCAGGCAGCUACCUCUCGGUCACUCCUCGCUAAAGGUAUCGUGACUCACCUUUACCACGCGCUUUGCCCUAGGGAUGCAGCUUUUUCUGCUAUCCACAUACCCAUCCCAAACGAAAUAAAAAUAUUUAGAUGUACAGACCACAACCUCACCAACAUCCACAGCCAGAGUCUGCAACCCAGGGAGAUUAUGUUUAGCAAGAAAAGAAAAAAACAAACAAACAAAAAAACCCCACAAAGUAGACCUUCUUGGCUACAUCUAAACAGUGUUUUGUCUUCUGAUCACUCUGAAUGCAGAAUAAUUUGUCAGCAAGUGACAAACUGACUUCACAGAUCUCAGCAAUAAAACGGGAUCUCAUUUGCCACCUUUGAAGAGCUGAGACAUACAGGUCAUUGUAGAGUCAUUUUUGUUCAGUGCACCGUCCCGUGCUCAGGAGGAACGAGGAAGGCUUUCAAGCUACACUGUGUAGCCAGGGAUUAGAGUUCUCCGGCUGGCUGAAGUGGAGAUGAAGCUCUCCCUUUGGGGACUAUAACGCAGGAUUUAAAUCUGACUUGUUUAAAUUCAAUUGAACUUUGAUUACCAAUGGAGCGUAAGCUAUAGACUCGCAGCAAACACAUUUCACCCUGGGCCAGAAAGGCCAUUCAUUUUCAUAGCACGUUUGGUUAAUCUAUUAACUAGCCUUUAUUUCCAUCAAAGCUUGGGAACAUGGUUUCGAACACACUGUACAGCAAACAGGCUUUUAUCUGCAGCUAAGACUGCUUUGAUAUACUGAUCAGAGCAACGAAGGGAAGGAAUUUUAUUUGUAAAAACACCAGCUAUCCCCAAAGCCUAUCCUGUACAACAACGCAGUAAGAGGAGUUUCCUGUUUGGAGAAUAUCGAGGAGUCGGCACGUCCCAGCCAAAGGCCAGUCCUCAGAGGAGCAGGCAAGUUCUCAUAAAAACGGCAUAAAGGAAAUUCUUCUGGUUGGCUGAGACAGCCCACCAACCCGAGUCCUCACUUAGACAUUCUGGAAGACACAAAUGUGAGUUUUAUAGCCAAAGCGACUCAAACCUACGCUUCUGUUCAGAUUCAGCUUUUGUGAAGCCCGACAAAGUGCUGUCAGCAACAAGAAAUUUGCAUCAGCUACUUCCUGUUUCUACAGGCAAAAGGAAUAAAGAUGGGACAACUAAAUUAAGAACAUACCGCAGUUUAUUUCUGAGCUGACACUGGAAUAUCUCAGGGGAUCAGCUACCAGAUGAUUUCCAACAUUUAUAUCUUCCACAAGCCCAAAGAUUUUUUUUUUUUUUUUUUAAAACAGUUCAGCUCAUCAAGGAAGGAACUAUUUGAAGCAAGACAAGACUCACAUGCCUGAAUUUAGUCAGUUGUCAGGACCAGCCACGAACACAAGACAGCUAUUGCUAGUCCCAGCAGCUGCCAAGACAGAGAUCUCUGCUGUUUAUAGCACAACAAUACUUGUUGACAUUGCUCCAGAACCCAUAGUGUCUACUUCUGGUAUUUCAGAUCUACUUUAUUUAGAAAGCCAAAAGCACU
Egretta garzetta (little egret) is the source of this 4098-nucleotide long non-coding RNA. RefSeq lists it as uncharacterized. The transcript is spliced from 2 exons. The record is from RefSeq and is a predicted model, not a curated record. Lineage: Eukaryota; Metazoa; Chordata; Aves; Pelecaniformes; Ardeidae.